GCUUUCCUGUGGUUUUGUUUGUUUGGUGGCACCUCGAACUCAUGUGCAAGGACGACUCUUAUCUAUCACCCAUGACUGAUGGCU
This is a small nucleolar RNA of Arvicanthis niloticus (Nile rat), 84 nucleotides long. RefSeq annotates it as small nucleolar RNA SNORD83. NCBI's taxonomy places the organism in Eukaryota, Metazoa, Chordata, Mammalia, Rodentia, Muridae. The record is from RefSeq and is a predicted model, not a curated record.